AGUGAACGCUGGCGGCAGGCCUAACACAUGCAAGUCGAACGGCAGCACAGGAGAGCUUGCUCUCUGGGUGGCGAGUGGCGGACGGGUGAGGAAUACAUCGGAAUCUACUCUGUCGUGGGGGAUAACGUAGGGAAACUUACGCUGAUACCGCAUACGACCUACGGGUGAAAGCAGGGGACCUUCGGGCCUUGCGCGAUUGAAUGAGCCGAUGUCGGAUUAGCUAGUUGGCGGGGUAAAGGCCCACCAAGGCGACGAUCCGUAGCUGGUCUGAGAGGAUGAUCAGCCACACUGGAACUGAGACACGGUCCAGACUCCUACGGGAGGCAGCAGUGGGGAAUAUUGGACAAUGGGCGCAAGCCUGAUCCAGCCAUACCGCGUGGGUGAAGAAGGCCUUCGGGUUGUAAAGCCCUUUUGUUGGGAAAGAAAUCCAGCUGGCUAAUACCCGGUUGGGAUGACGGUACCCAAAGAAUAAGCACCGGCUAACUUCGUGCCAGCAGCCGCGGUAA
RNAcentral lists this ribosomal RNA (506 nucleotides) under uncultured bacterium. RNAcentral's name for it is "partial 16S ribosomal RNA". It matches the Rfam family "Bacterial small subunit ribosomal RNA", at positions 29 to 523 of the family's 1533-position model. The record is from RNAcentral.